AUGUAUUUGAGUUUUAAAUAACCGUGAUGUCUAUUCCUUGAUGUAAUUGUUUCGGUAGCAACCCCACGAAUCGUAACCUCGAAAAGGGCAAAGGUAAAGAAUACGGACACCACCCCGUUCUCGGCGUUUAGGGUUAGGGUUACGCCGAAAACGGGUGGCAUGCGUAUUCUUUACCUCCGCCCCCGAAACCUACCCGCAAUUAUUAUUAUUUUUUAAGUUAACCCUUUGUCUUUCCCGUGUUUCACGUAUGAUGAACAGGACGUGUUUCCCUGGCAUCCAUUCAUAUACGAUAUACAUUCUCAAUUUGUGUCAACCACCGGAAAAACUUGGGGCUUAUGAAAGGAGAGCUUCAUAGAACCCAGAACGUAAGAGACAAGAGCUAACUAAAUGUCUGUAAACAAAUAUGGGCAUUUGUUAUGACAAAUGUUCUGACGAGUUGUCAAAAUUGUCUAAGACAGAUCGCAAAUUUCAUUUUAGAAUCUGAAAUGGCUAAAGGACAUCUUGGAAUUAGACAGAAAUGGGAUGAAACAUUCCAGAAAAUUAAAAAGUAUGUUUAAAUCUAGAUAUCAAAAUUUCGGCCAUCAUCUCAGAAACUGUAGGAACAAGAAUAUGCUAGCAGUGACGGCAAACCGAAUCUACCUUCUACUACAGCGUGAGCCAGCAAGCGGUCGUCUACGUGGUUGUGCGAUCAAGCUAGAAAUAGCAGCCAAAUUUCCCUCAAAUUACUCCUAUCGUCUUCAGAGCUUAUGUUCCAGUGUAGUUCUAGGUAUACAAGUAGGCGGAAUGGUCAUGACUGGAAGGCCUUUAUUUCAUAAAUCUGCUCGUUCAGACAGACAGACAGACAAACAGACAGAAAGAUAGACAGACGGACAGAAGAACAGACGGACAGAAGAACAGACGGACAGAAGAACAGACGGACAGACGAGCAGACAGACAAACAGACAGAGAGAGAGAGAGAUUGGUAGAUGGAUGGACAGACAGACAGAUAGAUAGAUAGAUCACAACUGUCAGCUGAAUCAGUAAUGUAAAAAUGAGAGUGUUUUUUUAAGUAUAAGAAAAAUAAAUGACAAGCU
This is an RNA transcript of Octopus bimaculoides (California two-spot octopus), 1073 nucleotides long. RefSeq lists it as uncharacterized. The record is from RefSeq and is a predicted model, not a curated record. Lineage: Eukaryota; Metazoa; Mollusca; Cephalopoda; Octopoda; Octopodidae.